GAUGAAGUGCCUGAUUAAAGGAUUAUCGUGAUAGGAUAAAUCAAGUAAAUUAAUUUACCUUCAUUA
This 66-nucleotide transfer RNA is filed under the name Neuroperla schedingi. Its description in RNAcentral is "tRNA-Ile". The record is from RNAcentral. Lineage: Eukaryota; Metazoa; Arthropoda; Insecta; Plecoptera; Eustheniidae.